Long non-coding RNA from Dermochelys coriacea (leatherback sea turtle), 3610 nucleotides. RefSeq lists it as uncharacterized. The record is from RefSeq and is a predicted model, not a curated record. Lineage: Eukaryota; Metazoa; Chordata; Testudines; Dermochelyidae. The transcript is spliced from 3 exons.
CCCCCCCGCGCCUUACUCGAUGAAGAACACCCGGCCGUCCCUGCAGACGCCAUAGGACCAGUGCUCAGGCUGAGGCAUUAGUCAGUCCAGGCCUUUGAUGUAGAGGACAAGAGGAUGAUGGAGAUUAAUUGCUCUCUUGCCCGCAACCUGUGGCUAUACUGAAAAGAUGCUGAAAGUGAAAAACUCCUAUUCAUCUUGUUCAUACAGGAUCGUUCCCUAUUAUACAGAUUAAUUUUUUUUAUCCCAUUAUUCCUAAUUAUGCCUUCAUGUACCACAGCAUAUAAUUCCUCUCCCUCAAUGAUAACGCUUUUCAAGUAUCGGUAGAAACUUAUGCACCACUACUCCUAGAUCAUCAAUAAACCAAGCUUUUCCUACCCUUUCCUCUUAAAUCAGCAUUACAAACUCCUGAACAUUUUUGUUACUCUUCUUUGAAUUACCACCACUGUCAAUAUCUUUCUAGUGAUGUGGUGCUCAGAAAUGGGUAGAUUCUUGCAGAUGCUUUGCACUGUGAUAAGCUCUAUCCUCUGCAUUUGUUAUUAUUUAAUUAUUUACUUGUUUAGUGUCAACAAUGUGCAUAUAGCUGUAAAAAGCAGAUAAGACAAAUCUCCUGCCAUGAACAGCUUAAUUAACUGUAGUUCCCAGGGCAAGUCCUUUUACAUCCAUUAAUUGCAUGGACUAGUUAAAUUGGCCUGUAGCUCCCUGCCAUGGCAUUGCCUCUAGAUCUGCGUGAGUGGGUGGACUUACGUACUCAUAGUGACCACUAACUGAGUUUAACAAUAACCUUUCAUUGUGUAAACCCCUACUUGGGAUGACCUUGUGACUUGUCUUCAGUAACUUAAUGGAAAAUAUUUUAAAUAAUUCAAAAGAAAUCUAUUCUACACAGCAUUGUUCAACAUUAAAACCUGCUUCUGAUGCUUAAUGUGUAAGCAACUAUAAACUUCUGAAGAUGUUGCAUACUUCUCUCCCCACCAGAGAUAAUGACUUCCCAUUAUUGAUUUGAGAUCUUUAAUCUGCACAUUAAAGUCCCAUUCUUAUCCCAUGGAGCUUAAAUUGUCUUACUGGUAUUGACAUGUUGAAUUACUACUUCUCUUUUACAUCAGGUGGUGAUGAAAGACUUCUGCAUGAUUCAAUUAAUUUACCUUAACUUCAGUUAUAUGCAUUUACACACUUUAAUCUCAGCUGCUUUCGUAUCAAUAUUUUUAAUUAUUGUCCUUUAACCAACAAUAGGCUCUCAAAACCAUACAAAUAUACAGCUUAGUUUUCAUAUAUGUUAAGUAAUAAAAUAAGGGCCUGAUUGAAAGACCAUUGGUGUCCGUAGAGAUUCCCAUUGACUUAAAUGAGCUGUUUAUCAAGAGUCUAGGCUGCAGUUGCAUAAUCUAUAUUUUAACAUAAAGGUUCAUAUACCUUAUAAACAACGAUACAUGACUUUUUUGCAUUAUUAGGAAGUGCUGCAUUGGCACUCAUUUAUUACAGACCUUAUAUAUAAUACUUAAGCAGAAUAUUGUAUUACAUCACAGUAACAGUAGUUAAUGUUAAGUCAUUUAAAAGUGAUUAAAAGUACUCGAAAAUCCACAUGCUGACUCAGAUUGUCUUGAAAUUUUGUGUGGGGGUGCAGAGUAGGGUUAGUGGUCUAAAUUUGGGUUCAUUUGAACAAAAGCCUCCCGAGAUACAGCCCCCCUAACAAAUGCUAUGUGUACAAAAUCACCUAUAUGCAAUUCUAGAUGAUGCAACCUGCUCAUUUUCCCCCAAGGCCAUGCAAAAAAAUAAGUCCAGUUCAGUAAGGGAAAAUUCCCAAGCACGUAGUUAUUACUACAAGUCAGAAAUCCGACACUGACUCCUCAUGUGAAAAGACUGUGUCCUGUCAGGCUAAGGACUGGUAGAAAUAUUAAAAAGUAAUUGGGGAAAUUAAGUAAAUUCCUUCUUCCAAGAUCCCUUCCUGAAGCUAUUGCUCCAAAAAAAGUGGACUAGAGAUUUUAUUCCUGAAAAUGGUGAUUUUUUUUCUUAACCCUUUCUGGCUCAGUAUCACAGAUGAUAAUAUGUAGCACUUGUACAGCCCUUUGACAUCUUUGGAUUCAAAGUAAUUUUAAAAGGUGAAUAAGAAUUACCCCAUUUUACAGAUAGCAAAAGUGAAAUACAGCAAGGAUGGCUUGCCCAAUGUCACAGACAAUGACAUAACUGGGAAUAAAAUCCAUGUCUGACUCAUAGUACAAUGCUCUGUCAGUUGGACCACAGGUGUCCGUGGGAAUAGACAGAAGUAAGUGUGGCAAGAAGUUACCAACAGGUGUAAAAAAAUUAGAUGAGACAACUGUUUGUUCUGACAUUUCACACUGCUGAAGUGUGUGGUCACCCAUUUAUAACUUUGAUGUUGCUGUUGCAUAAAAUAAUGUAUCAAAAAACAUCUGAAGGAAUCACCACAGUGUCACUCAGUAUCAGCAAAUAAUCAACAGUAAUGCCAAGUAAGGGUUGAACAUGAGCAUAUUCUCUCAAAGGCCAUUUUGUACCUUUAACAUAAAUUCAUUUAAUUUUACUAUGUAUUUAAAACAGGCCUACUGUGUGUGAAACACAGAAUGUAAGCUCCAAAGGACAUGGAAAAUAAAGGCAAAUAGAAAGCAAAUUGUGUGCAUGCAUGUGUGUGUGUGUUUGUAUAUAUGAGUCUAUCCUGUUCCCAUUGAAAUAGGUUGGAAGUUUUGCAACUGGCUUCAGUGGGAGCAAGAUUACACCCUAUAAUGCUACAACUAUCUUAAUAUAGCUCAUAAAGUAAACCAGGUCAGUUUAUAGGUAGGGGAAUCCAAAAGUCUGAAGAAAGAAUUAUUCAUUUUUCUGGAUUCUGGAAAGAAUAUGAAUAAGUUUCACUGCUUCCUACAAUUCCUGGAAGGCACUAAGCACAGCAAAUACUGAUUAAGGAUAGGUUUCAGAGUAGCAGCCGUGUUAGUCUGUAUCCGAUGAAGUGAGCUGUAGCUCACGAAAGCUUAUGCUCAAAUACAUUUGUUAGUCUCUAAGGUGCCACAAGUACUCCUUUUCUGUUUAAGAAUAUUAUUCAUGCUCACCAAAUCAACACCCAGUGUGAUCUGAUUGACAGUGCAUACUCAGGUCAAUAGAGAGAUUUUAACAACUGAGUGAGGCAGACGGGAAAAUGCCACAGGGAAAGCAAUGUUUGUGGUGCAAAUCAAAUUCAAACUCCUCCUUCCAGAACAGUUAAGUCUCCUUAGAGUCAAGAAAAAUGCCAAAUACUCUGUUUGGUUUAAAAAAAAAAAAAAAAAAGAUUAUUCACAACAAAAAGGAUUAGAAAGUGUUACUGUUGAAAAUGUCUCUUAAUGAAGUUCAGCGAAUGUUAUCUAUAUAAUUAUACCUUCUUUACAAAACUCCUCCACCUUUUAAAAAAAAUUGGAUAUUAAAAUUUGGAAAUUAAUAUUUAAGAUAUGCAGGUAGUUCCCCACUGCCAUAAAGUUCUUCAUCAUUCACCAUCACUUGUACUGCCCACAACAACUUUAACUUUGUUCUCUAAAAUCUGCAAAACUAUAUUCAUAAAUCAAAAUGAAUUUCGAGUUGAUUUCCUAGUAAAGUAAUUCAGUUCCAAUUUUCUAACAUGUUCAUUACAACAUUAUGGACU